CGCACAUUGCGCCCGCUAGUAUUCUGGCGGGCAUGCCUGUUCGAGCGUCAUUUCAACCCUCAAGCCCCUCCAGGCUUGGCGUUGGGGAUCGGCCCCGCUUUGGCGGCCGGCCCCGAAAUCGAGUGGCGGUCCCGCCGUGGCUUCCUUUGCGUAGUAAAUCAUCUCGCACUGGAACGCGGCGCGGCCACGCCGUUAAUCAGACGAAUCUUUCAAGGUUGACCUCGGAUCAGGUAGGAAUACCCGCUGAACUUAA
RNAcentral lists this unclassified non-coding RNA (253 nucleotides) under Fusarium sp. Its description in RNAcentral is "partial contains 5.8S ribosomal RNA, internal transcribed spacer 2, and large subunit ribosomal RNA". Lineage: Eukaryota; Fungi; Ascomycota; Sordariomycetes; Hypocreales; Nectriaceae. The record is from RNAcentral.